GAUACGGGCUCAGGUUUAAGAAUCACCACUAGCUUAAACUGCAAAAGGUUAAAAAUACAGGAUGAACUUAAUUUACUUUUUCAACCUCCUCGUUCUCUGGAUACUUCUUUCUUCCUUACUACACAGAAGACAAAAAAUAAAACAAAAACAUAUUGAUGGAGAGGAUAUAUAAAGCCCUCUUUCCUAAUUAGAGGGAACUCCUUUUCUACUCUAGUCUUUGGAUUUAUCUGUUCUGACCAGUCAUUUCAAACGGGACCCGCGGCUAGUCUCACUUGAUUUGCACUUGAUACUUAUUUCUCCAAUGGCUUGUUGCUCCUGAGUCUUGUCAGGGGCCUAGUGGACCUGCCCCGGGACUGAGGCCUAGGUCAGCACAGUGCACGUGUGCUCCGUGAUUGGCGUUUUCCCAUCGUGACAAAUCUGGGCAGCCCGCCUCCUGGCUCCUACCUGACAAGAAUCCCUGAGCAUCUCAGGAAGAAGGAGAAGCUCCAGCUCCCUGGAGGGACGGGAAGGGGAGACCUAUGGCAGGCGCUGCAGACCAGGCAGGAGUGUGCCGUUAGCUCCCAAAAGCUGACUCUCCCUGGGAGAGCUCUGGGUGCCAGCUGGCCACGGAGCCAGUCUUCAGCUGCGAGUCAAGAUGUGUUCCCUGGGCUCAGAGGAAGAAGGCACCUAUGCACAAAGGACUAGACGACUAGCUUGUUAGCUCACUCAGGUGGGGCUAGUCCCAGGUGUGUGUUAGGGGGAAGGGGCACUUACAUCAUAGGAUCUGCAGGCGCUUCAAAAUAAGCCAAAACGCUAAAACUCUCACAAUUGGAAUCUAUCCUUUGGAGUAAGGCAUUGAGAACUUCUCUUAAAGUGCGCUGUUAUCUCGGAGGAGUAACAAUCACUCCCCAAACUUCUCAGCAAGAAUUAGUAAAUUAGGUCAGUGGGUAGGUUCUCCCGGCCCCUCUCAUGAAACAGAACCUUAAAAAGAGUUCCUCUGCAUGGACACGUUCUUGAGAUCAGAGAAAAGCUGCGUGUGGACGAGGGGCUGUAGCCUAGAAAAGGUCGCCGUGGAAGGGGGAGACAAAUGAGAAGUUUCCCAGGGGUGGAUAUAAGCAGCGUGGUGUCACAAAGUAGCAAGUGUGGGCAAGGGAGCUGGCAGGCAAGUUGUCAAAGGCAAGCCUUUCUCCGUGGUAGAGUGGAACGAACGUGGAAUGUCUCAAAGGGCCUGAAUUCUAGCCUGGCUGUUCCACAUAAUGGGCUCUAUGAAUUCUGGUAACUUAACUGUUCUGGGCCUCGGUUUCGUCUUUUGCCAGAAGGGAAUGGCAAUCCCUGUUCCACCUGCCUCACACGGUUGUUGUGAGACUCGGAUAAAAAAAUGAAUAACAAAACUUUAUGUAAAUUAUACAAUGCAGUAUGAAUGAAAGGACUAUAAUUAUUUUAUUUCACAACCUUGCUCAGGGCUCUCUCUUAUUGAAAGUGAGUAUGAAAAUGAGCAAUUCCAGAUUGUCAAAUAUGAGACUAAGCACGAAUUUCUCACUUGGUUUUCGGUAGGGAUGAGCCAUGUCUAUUAGCGUUUCGGUGUCUGAGGUUCCAGCAUUCUCCAGCUUUACCUCCUGACAGCCUCCCCUUUUUCCAGCCAAGUCCAGCACUGUUUCCAGGUCUGGGGGCAUCUUGAAAGGCUUUCAAUGGAGGGUUCAGUUUUAAUCUUUGCAAGAACCUAGAAGCCCACUCCCACCCAUUUCCCUCCUGCCACAGCCCCCUCCUGAAGACUUCUUUGCAUUUAGCACAUGAUCUUGUCGAUAUUCUCAGCCUAGCUUUUUAAAGGUUUUCUGGCAAAUUGGGAGGCUAACUCCUUUAGGUCACUGAGCUACACAACUCCAGGAGGCGCUGUUUAUAUUCUAGACCACAGUGCGAAUAGCAUCCCCUGGAUUUGUGCAACACGAUCGUCCUGCUUGUGGUAUCUAGUCCCCUCUCCAUCCCAGCCUGCCCCUCUUUAACUCGCUAACUUCUACUUCUUCAGGACUGAGCUCUUCAUCUUCUUCUCUGGGAAGCUGCUCUGGCUGCCAAGGCCAGGUGAGAUAUCCCUCCUCUGCUUGCACAGCUCCCUGUGCCUCCCUCUGCCGGAGCACUGAUCACU
RNAcentral lists this long non-coding RNA (2119 nucleotides) under Equus asinus (donkey). RNAcentral's name for it is "lncRNA (ENSEASG00005026937.1)". The record is from RNAcentral. Lineage: Eukaryota; Metazoa; Chordata; Mammalia; Perissodactyla; Equidae.